Molecule: long non-coding RNA, 582 nt
Organism: Chinchilla lanigera (long-tailed chinchilla)
Lineage: Eukaryota; Metazoa; Chordata; Mammalia; Rodentia; Chinchillidae
Exons: 2
Source: RefSeq, a predicted model, not a curated record
GGCGGUGACCAGGGGAGCCCCGAGGCUGUGAGCGCCCCGGGAGGGUGGGAGGAGUCCUGGCGGCGGGGAAGGCAUGAAGUUAGACCUGAAUUGUUCAGCAGUCGGGGCGUCCCAGGCCGCGGGCACAACUUAGGCAAAGGCCCAAAGGCAGGAAGCCAAGGUGAUUCCGGACAGCGGAGCAGUCAAGUCUGAUCACAGCCGUUGGGCCGGGAGCCGAGGAGUUGGGAGAGGUUGGGGAGCUGAGAAAAAGGGAGACAGUCCCAGCGCGGAGUCAGGAGGGGAAGACGGUGCUAGAGGGAGAAGCUCCCUGCCUCUCCGGACCUAGCAGGCAUCAAGUGCCGGAGACCUUCGGGGAGGACGCUGAGGCCCAGGUGGAUGUGUGGUCCUGGGAUUCCUUUCCAACCCUGCCACCAGAGACCCACCCAGUCCUCCCCUCUGCACACAGCUUCUGCGCAGUAAUUUCUUGUGCAUCUUUCCGGAGGAAUUUAUACAUCUGUACAUAUAUGUUACCCCAGCCUCCUCUUUUAUUACUUUUUGUCCCUGGAUGGAAUCACAUUAUCCUAAACUGUUUUUUUUUUUUUU